GUGGUGCAUGGCUGUCGUCAGCUCGUGCCGUAAGGUGUUGGGUUAAGUCUCGCAACGAGCGCAACCCUCGUGUUUAGUUGCCACUAUGAGUUUGGAACCCUGAACAGACCGCCGGUGUUAAGCCGGAGGAAGGAGAGGAUGAGGCCAAUAAUACUC
RNAcentral lists this ribosomal RNA (156 nucleotides) under Triticum aestivum (bread wheat). Its description in RNAcentral is "rRNA SSU_rRNA_eukarya". It matches the Rfam family "Bacterial small subunit ribosomal RNA", at positions 1038 to 1198 of the family's 1533-position model. Lineage: Eukaryota; Viridiplantae; Streptophyta; Magnoliopsida; Poales; Poaceae. The record is from RNAcentral.